RNAcentral lists this long non-coding RNA (334 nucleotides) under Mytilus galloprovincialis (Mediterranean mussel). The record is from RNAcentral. Lineage: Eukaryota; Metazoa; Mollusca; Bivalvia; Mytilida; Mytilidae.
ACUUUUUUCUGAGGAAAAUUCUUUAAUUUGUCCACAUUUAGAAGAAGUUUACUUAUUUUUAAUUGCUUGCUUCCAGGAAGCAAUUCGCCGACAUAUUUCCGUAUGCAUAGUGACCCGAGCGUAACCCUCCUCGUAAAAAUCCGGUAAUCGCAAUACGCAUGGAUCUGUAUUGAAAUAAACAAAUAUCUGAGUAUACAUGUUAAACACGUGCUCAAUACCCAUGCUUUUUGUGAUUUGUUUACUAUAAGGUGACAAUCGUUAAAACUCGGCUUCAAAACACGGCAUUUAAUGAGCAGCCAUAUUUUUUAAAUCAUAACAAACAGAGAGAAAAAAA